Molecule: long non-coding RNA, 1154 nt
Organism: Gadus chalcogrammus (walleye pollock)
Lineage: Eukaryota; Metazoa; Chordata; Actinopteri; Gadiformes; Gadidae
Exons: 3
Source: RefSeq, a predicted model, not a curated record
GUGAAAAAGAUGGCAUCCUCAAUUUUCAUAUUGGGUGCACUUUUAGGAUUAAUGUGUGUUCAAUCUGUCCAAGCACUGACAUGUCUAAACUGUACAAGCAUCUCUGAAGAACAGCCAAGCUGCCCUGAGGAUGAUAUUCAACCGGUGAUUUGUGGAGGGCGGUUCACCCAUUGUAUUCGGAUUGUAUUGAACAAGCCAGCCUUCGGUGAAAUUCGAAGAUGUGCUACUACAAAGGAAUGCGAGGCUUCAGUUACCGACAUUGUUGAACGCUCGUGCUGCAAUGAUAAGGACGAGUGUAAUGUUGCAUCUAGUUGAUACAAAUAGAUGACAGUCUAUGCCAUAUAAAUGCAUUUUAGGAAUAUUGUAUAAUCUAUAUUGCUUUCAAUUUAUUUAUUUAUUGAUCGAUUGGCAGAUUGGUCAAUUUAUAAUAAAUAAAUAAUCUUCAUAAUCAGUCUUCAAUGAUAUCUCGGCAAAGAAAAUAACUUCUGGUUCUCAUAAUUUACGGAAUUAAAGGAAUUCCUGUGUUGCAAGCAUCAGGAGAGCAAAGGCUGAUUAUUUCCUGCAUAUUGUUUUAUGGACAUCCCUUCCUGAUGCAUUUUGAUCAAUUUUAUUUUGGAAGGCAAUUUAGUUGGUAGAAAUGUUGAUGCUUUUUCUAAAAGCUGCUUUUCUGAUUUGAAACCCAUUCAAACUAUUAUUUAUUUAGAUAAUGUGUUAAUUAUAAAUGUUAAUAAUUAUACAGCAAGAAAUGAAGAUUUUUCCUUCUAUCUUUUCAUGGAAAGAGAGGUCACUGAUGCUCUUAAAAUGGGCAAGAAAAAGUAAAUAGGAGCUGACGUCUAGAAGCUGGGCUAUGGUUCUGGAUGCCCCUAUUAUUUCUAAUUCAAUAACUAGUUUUAUUUUAACUAUCACUACUGGCAGUAUUCCAUUCGCUGGAGAGUAUUUUAUGUUGUCCUGCUCCAUAAAGGUGGUUAUCUAUUAACCAUGAUAAUUACUGGACAAUUUAAAAACCUCCUAUAACAAUGCUAUAUGCUAUAUGCUAUAUUAGGCACUUUGAGUGUGUGAAAAGCGCUAUAUAAAUUGAAUCUAUUAUUAUUAUUAUUAUUAUUAUAUACUAAAGAAAACAAGAAGUCCCCUAGUAUGGAUUGGUUACCGGGAAA